RNAcentral lists this long non-coding RNA (496 nucleotides) under Homo sapiens (human). RNAcentral describes it as "non-protein coding lnc-SALL1-12:2". Lineage: Eukaryota; Metazoa; Chordata; Mammalia; Primates; Hominidae. The record is from RNAcentral.
GGGCAAGUCCAGGAAGCAGUGUGUGACAAAGAAUGAGUACCCAGUGCUGGAGGGCAUGGAGCAAUCCAUCGGCAGCUCCCGGUGGUGAUGAGUGAGUGUCCUGCGGCAGAGGGUGGGGUGGCAUAGCAAGAACAGUUGAAGGCAGGAAGUGGGAAAGCAUUCUGGUUACUGUCAUGCCAAGGGUCAGCGGCCAACAGUCCGGGAGAGUCUCCUUGCAUCUGUCUUCCUCUAACAAGGAUGGGUGUGUGUGGCCCAUAAAUCAACUGGACGCACUUCCCUUUGUUUGCACACUGCCACCGACACAGGCUUGCUAUGAAGAAGAAGAAAUUUUGCUCAGAGGAAACUAGAAAACCUGAACGUGUACACAAUGCUGACAUAUUUUGUUGCUUUCACCCCUCUUAAGAAUUUCUACCAUUCCUUUGAGAAGUUGAUUAUUUUUAAAACUGUGUAUCAUUUUGUCUUCUUGGGCAAAUUGCACAGUCAAUGAUAUGUUUCA